This 106-nucleotide ribosomal RNA is filed under the name Pteropus alecto (black flying fox). The record is from RNAcentral. Lineage: Eukaryota; Metazoa; Chordata; Mammalia; Chiroptera; Pteropodidae.
GUCUUCGGCCACGCCACCCUGAACACGCCAGAGCCCAUCUGAUCUCAGACACUAAGCAGGGUCGGGCCUGGUUAGCAUGUGGAUGGGAGACCAGGUGCUAUUGCUG